Molecule: long non-coding RNA, 2943 nt
Organism: Anas platyrhynchos (mallard)
Lineage: Eukaryota; Metazoa; Chordata; Aves; Anseriformes; Anatidae
Source: RefSeq, a predicted model, not a curated record
UGAAAGGAUAUGACCUAAACUAUAAAAUGCACUUAUUAGAGUUGUAUGAUAAAUCAGGGAAGGACUCGCUCGCCUCCUCUGAAGGAACUGCAUGCAGCUGGACAGGGAAUCGAGCGGGCAGAUUGAUUUCUGGUGUGCAGCACGCUCCCAGCCAGGGUGAGGAAUUAGCACAGGUCAAAUUGCUCACAAACCUCUGUCAAGGAAUAUAUAUAAGCCUUGCCUGAAUGUCAGGCUGGAGGAAAGAAAACCAGAGCUCUGUGGUCCUGCUAUGUCCCAGCACGGGUGAUUUCAUCGGUUAUAUCACUCUCCUCGCUCCUGAAUCUGGAUGCUGAGUUUUUGGCCACGUAAUGGGUCCCCAGCAAGAUGCCCUGCUGCGGAGUUAGGUACCCCAGCCCCAAAAAGUCAAGUGCCCUAUCCAGCAGCCCUGUAACAAUUUGCCAUGAAAACACAGCACAUCCUCCAGCCACAAAGUCUCCGGGCACAAGGUCUGUUGUUCUCCACGACUGGGUCUGGCUCCGUGACCGGGGCACGAAGCUACGACCAUAAAAUGAAUAACAACACGCUGCAUUCAAUCGUCAUCGUUGGGGGGCUCAAUGCUCCUGCACACGGACGCAAUACCACGAGUGCCCCCGCGACUGAAGGCCAAGAAAUGACUGAUCGUGCCACCCGUGAUGGCCAGAAGUGUGCCAAGGGAAGAAGAUGGCCUCUGGAUGGCGCAGCUCCCAGUGGACUGCCACAUGAGUGUCCCUGCAGUUUUGGGAAGCAACUCCUUGAUUUUGGGGUCUGGCAGGGCUGAAGGUGCUGGGGACCAAAGAAAAGCACCCAAAGCAGUGAGAGACUGUGUCGCUGAUACCUUCUGCUUCUCACGGAGCUGCCAGUUAAUCCAAAGUGCAAAACAUCUAGCCAAAGGUGAGAUGACUCCACACAGCGCAAAGAAAUGAUGCAAUCACCCCUUUCCUGCAGUCUGCCUUCUUCGAAAUUACUUUAAGUCUUGUAAAGAAAAGCCUUCCAGGUCCUCUAUGAGCUAUAAACCUCAGGAACUGUCUGGCUUCAUUUCUGCAUAACUGCGAGGAGCUCCGCAUCAGGUCUUCCAGGGUAAUGGGAGAAGGCAAUGCGAGGAAAACACAAUGGGAAAGGCUGAUGUAAACAUAGCUGUAUCUUCCUGCACGUCUCUAUAGUUAACACUCUCGUUAAUUAUCUCGGUAUCCAAGGGCUUAUGAAUUCAAACUAUUAUUUCCUUUGUGUACAUUUCUUGGGAGGAGGGCAGCGACUAAUUGAUGCAGGCUCGCAGGGGGGUGAGUCCAUGAGAGCAGCUACUGCAGUGAGGAUGGACAGAGCAGUGACCUUCAGCACUGGGAUCUGUUUCAGCCAGAAAUCUGGGUCAUUUUCACCCUUUUUUUUGAGAGUGGGAAUAUGCUAGAUUUGGUUUUGAGAAAGGGAUGUCAUGGGUCCCCUGGUAGCCUUCAGAAAUGCCUUUUCCAUCCAAGACAUCUGCGUAUGUCCGAGAGCUGAAGCGUGGCUGUCUGCUUGACCUAUUUUUCUAUUUUUGACCUAUUUUGCUACUUUUCUCACCCGAGUCACGUGCCGCUCUGCUCACACUGGGUGUGAGACGCAUCGCGAGCCACUGCACAGAGUCAGGACUGCGCCGUGCUGCAAACACCCCCGGCGUGCUUCUCCCCACGUUCCCCCCAUUAUAAUUAAAACACAGGGCUUGAUUGCAUCCUGGUAACACGUGGCACUCUCGCAGCCUGCUCGUGGUGGUGAACAAGAGAGCUGCGGGUCGUUUCUCCUGCCAGGCUGGAGAAAAAGCAGCCUGGCUGCCUCUCCCUGCGGUACAGCAUGCGCAUCAGCAGGCUGCUGGAUGAUGGCGGUGAUGAUGACAAUGAUUAUUUUGAUUAUUGCUGUUAUUAUCAGUGCUGUUAUUGCUAUUGCUAUCAAUUAUAGUGUUCCCGACCUCGAGACGGGGUGCACCCGAGGUGAGCCUGAGCACAAAGGGGCUGCAGCAGCGCUGAGCAGAUGCUGGGGCUGGGGAGGACGCGUGGGGCUGUGGCUUUGCCUUGGAGCCACGGGACAGUGCCGUGCCUCAGAGUAUGAUGGAUGAGCCCUGGCUGCAGGGUGCUGGCCUUUGGUGAUGCCCUGAGUGUGACAUUUCAGGGUGACUUGCUCCAUUUUCCUAUUUUGAAUAUGUCCCCAUGUUCAGCCCUGGUCUGGCCCACAUUUAAUUUUUAAGGUGAUGCUGCAGCAAAGGCAUCUCUUUAGAUACUCCCCGAUCCCAGCCAUGCCCCAGGGAUGGGCAUUUCCUGACCCAAAAUUCCAGGUUGUGGUGAACCUGUGCAGUGUGGCUUUGUCAUUAUUUGAUGUGCAUGAAGAGCAAGGGCUGUGAGUGAGGACUGCAUUGCCUUCACGUCGUGCAUCCUGCCGGGACAUGACAGAGCAUCUGAGAAGACUCUCUUUAAUUAAAACGCCAGCAACUGGAAUUUCUGGAGAAACAUCAGAGGUCCUUGCAAAUAAAUUCUCCCGGUAUCCCAUGUUUCACACUCUCAAACCUUUUGCAUGUUGUUUAUUUUUUCUGGUUAACCUUUUGUUUAGUCCAUGUAAUUUUGGAGCUGAUUUCAGGGGAAUACUUAUGGGCCAAGCGUGUUCGUAGUUAUGACUGGCUUACUUACAAAUUACCCUUUAAUCAACAGAUUUAAUAUUAAUUAAUAAUUCAUAGGCUGCUCGUAGGAUAAAAUUGCAUAAUAAUGUCUUUGAUGCAGCCCAAAGUGUCCAUUGUAGAUGGCAUAAAAUGUUAAUUAGCAGCAAAAUGCAGUUAGGAGAAAACUCUUUUAAUUAUGUAAUAGGCCUCAUUACAAUGGGUAAUCAACAAUGCUUCCAAAUUAGCCCACUGGCAGCAUUUAUCUAUAUAUAGCAAAUAAACUUUUGUUUGCAGAAAAUGCAUUUGAA